This 269-nucleotide ribosomal RNA is filed under the name uncultured anaerobic ammonium-oxidizing bacterium. RNAcentral's name for it is "partial 16S ribosomal RNA". It matches the Rfam family "Bacterial small subunit ribosomal RNA", at positions 565 to 832 of the family's 1533-position model. The record is from RNAcentral.
GAGCACGUAGGUGGGUUUGUAAGUCAGAUGUGAAAGCCUUCUGUUCAACGGAAGAAUUGCAUCUGAAACUGCAAAUCUUGAGUAUAGGAGGGGAGAAUGGAACUUCUGGUGGAGCGGUGAAAUGCGUAGAUAUCAGAAGGAACGCCGGCGGCGAAAGCGAUUCUCUGGCCUAUUACUGACACUCAGUGUGCGAAAGCUAGGGGAGCAAACGGGAUUAGAUACCCCGGUAGUCCUAGCCGUAAACGAUGGGCACUAAGUAGAGGGGUUUU